Molecule: ribosomal RNA, 632 nt
Filed under: uncultured fungus
Lineage: Eukaryota; Fungi
Description: eukaryotic LSU rRNA
Rfam family: 5.8S ribosomal RNA (bases 121-274)
Source: RNAcentral
UUAGGGUCGCUGUGCUGUACAAGUCGGCUUUCCUUUCAUUUCCAAGACUAUGUUUUUAUAUACACCAAAGUAUGUUUAAAGAAUGUCAUCAAUAGGAACUUGUUUCCUAUAUAAUUAUACAACUUUCAGCAACGGAUCUCUUGGCUCUCGCAUCGAUGAAGAACGCAGCGAAAUGCGAUAAGUAAUGUGAAUUGCAGAAUUCAGUGAAUCAUCGAAUCUUUGAACGCACCUUGCGCUCCUUGGUAUUCCGAGGAGCAUGCCUGUUUGAGUGUCAUUAAAUUCUCAACCUUCCAGCUUUUUAUAAGCUUGGUUAGGCUUGGAUGUGGGGGUUGUGGGCUUCAUUAAUGAGGUCAGCUCUCCUUAAAUGCAUUAGCGGAACUUUUGUGGACCGUCUAUUGGUGUGAUAAUUAUCUACGCCGUGGAUGUGAAGCAGAUUUAUGAAGUUCAGCUUCUAACCGUCCAUUGACUUGGACAUUUUUGACAAUUUGACCUCAAAUCAGGUAGGACUACCCGCUGAACUUAAGCAUAUCAAUAAGCGGAGGAAAAGAAACUAACAAGGAUUCCCCUAGUAACUGCGAGUGAAGCGGGAAAAGCUCAAAUUUAAAAUCUGGCAGUCUUUGGCUGUGCCGAGU